AUGGCUUCCACAACACAUAUACUAAAAUUGGAAUGACACAGAGAAUAUUAGCAUGACCCCUGCACAAGAAUGCCACACAAAUUUGUGAAGUGUUCUAUAUUUUU
Molecule: small nuclear RNA, 104 nt
Organism: Globicephala melas (long-finned pilot whale)
Lineage: Eukaryota; Metazoa; Chordata; Mammalia; Artiodactyla; Delphinidae
Source: RefSeq, a predicted model, not a curated record